This 496-nucleotide ribosomal RNA is filed under the name uncultured bacterium. RNAcentral describes it as "partial 16S ribosomal RNA". It matches the Rfam family "Bacterial small subunit ribosomal RNA", at positions 28 to 506 of the family's 1533-position model. The record is from RNAcentral.
GACGAACGCUGGCGGCGUGCCUAAUACAUGCAAGUUGAGCGCUGAAGGUUGGUACUUGUACCAACUGGAUGAGCAGCGAACGGGUGAGUAACGCGUGGGGAAUCUGCCUUUGAGCGGGGGACAACAUUUGGAAACGAAUGCUAAUACCGCAUAAAAACUUUAAACACAAGUUUUAAGUUUGAAAGAUGCAAUUGCAUCACUCAAAGAUGAUCCCGCGUUGUAUUAGCUAGUUGGUGAGGUAAAGGCUCACCAAGGCGAUGAUACAUAGCCGACCUGAGAGGGUGAUCGGCCACAUUGGGACUGAGACACGGCCCAAACUCCUACGGGAGGCAGCAGUAGGGAAUCUUCGGCAAUGGACGAAAGUCUGACCGAGCAACGCCGCGUGAGUGAAGAAGGUUUUCGGAUCGUAAAACUCUGUUGGUAGAGAAGAACGUUGGUGAGAGUGGAAAGCUCAUCAAGUGACGGUAACUACCCAGAAAGGGACGGCAAACUACGU